This 494-nucleotide ribosomal RNA is filed under the name uncultured bacterium. RNAcentral describes it as "partial 16S ribosomal RNA". It matches the Rfam family "Bacterial small subunit ribosomal RNA", at positions 28 to 507 of the family's 1533-position model. The record is from RNAcentral.
GACGAACGCUGGCGGCGUGCUUAACACAUGCAAGUCGAACGGAAAGGCCUGCUUUCCCUUGUGGAUUGCGGGUACUCGAGUGGCGAACGGGUGAGUAACACGUGAGUGAUCUGCCCCCAACUUGGGUAUAAGCCUGGGAAACUGGGUCUAAUUCCCGAUAGGACUGCAGGGUGGUGCCUGUGGUGGAAAACGAUUUUCUAGUGGUUGGGGAUGAGCUCGCGGCCUAUCAGCUUGUUGGUGGGGUAAUGGCCUACCAAGGCGGCGACGGGUAGCCGGCCUGAGAGGGUGGACGGCCACAUUGGGACUGAGAUACGGCCCAGACUCCUACGGGAGGCAGCAGUGGGGAAUAUUGCACAAUGGGCGGAAGCCUGAUGCAGCAACGCCGCGUGGGGGAUGACGGCCUUCGGGUUGUAAACUCCUUUCGACCGCGAGGAAGCCACCUGGUUGGAAGGGUGGUGACGGUAGUGGUAGAAGAAGCACCGGCUAACUACGUG